GGUCUCGUAGGGUAGCGGUUAACACGCCUGCCUGUCAAGCAGGAGAUCGCGGGUUCGAUUCCCGUCGAGACCGCCA
Molecule: transfer RNA, 76 nt
Filed under: Staphylococcus aureus
Lineage: Bacteria; Bacillati; Bacillota; Bacilli; Caryophanales; Staphylococcaceae
Description: tRNA-Asp
Rfam family: tRNA
About the family: Transfer RNA (tRNA) molecules are approximately 80 nucleotides in length. Their secondary structure includes four short double-helical elements and three loops (D, anti-codon, and T loops). Further hydrogen bonds mediate the characteristic L-shaped molecular structure. tRNAs have two regions of fundamental functional importance: the anti-codon, which is responsible for specific mRNA codon recognition, and the 3' end, to which the tRNAs corresponding amino acid is attached (by aminoacyl-tRNA synthetases). tRNAs cope with the degeneracy of the genetic code in two manners: having more than one tRNA (with a specific anti-codon) for a particular amino acid; and 'wobble' base-pairing, i.e. permitting non-standard base-pairing at the 3rd anti-codon position.
Source: RNAcentral